RNAcentral lists this small nuclear RNA (82 nucleotides) under Piliocolobus tephrosceles (Ugandan red Colobus). RNAcentral describes it as "U4 spliceosomal RNA (ENSPTEG00000035845.1)". It matches the Rfam family "U4 spliceosomal RNA". From Rfam's summary of the family: U4 small nuclear RNA (U4 snRNA) is a component of the major U2-dependent spliceosome. The structure of U4 snRNA from yeast and human has been reported. The record is from RNAcentral. Lineage: Eukaryota; Metazoa; Chordata; Mammalia; Primates; Cercopithecidae.
AGCUUUGUACAGUGGCAGUAUCAAAGCCAAUGAGGUUUAUCUGAGGCAUGAUUAUUGCUAAUUGCAAACUUUAUUUCUUGGG